RNAcentral lists this ribosomal RNA (393 nucleotides) under Salmonella enterica subsp. enterica serovar Weltevreden. RNAcentral's name for it is "bacterial SSU rRNA". It matches the Rfam family "Bacterial small subunit ribosomal RNA", at positions 865 to 1258 of the family's 1533-position model. The record is from RNAcentral. Lineage: Bacteria; Pseudomonadati; Pseudomonadota; Gammaproteobacteria; Enterobacterales; Enterobacteriaceae. RNAcentral also lists the same sequence under 2 other names.
UAGACCGCCUGGGGAGUACGGCCGCAAGGUUAAAACUCAAAUGAAUUGACGGGGGCCCGCACAAGCGGUGGAGCAUGUGGUUUAAUUCGAUGCAACGCGAAGAACCUUACCUGGUCUUGACAUCCACAGAACUUUCCAGAGAUGGACUGGUGCCUUCGGGAACUGUGAGACAGGUGCUGCAUGGCUGUCGUCAGCUCGUGUUGUGAAAUGUUGGGUUAAGUCCCGCAACGAGCGCAACCCUUAUCCUUUGUUGCCAGCGGUUAGGCCGGGAACUCAAAGGAGACUGCCAGUGAUAAACUGGAGGAAGGUGGGGAUGACGUCAAGUCAUCAUGGCCCUUACGACCAGGGCUACACACGUGCUACAAUGGCGCAUACAAAGAGAAGCGACCUCGC